RNAcentral lists this unclassified non-coding RNA (332 nucleotides) under soil metagenome. RNAcentral's name for it is "partial contains 5.8S ribosomal RNA, internal transcribed spacer 2, and large subunit ribosomal RNA". The stretch from base 1 to 120 matches the Rfam family "5.8S ribosomal RNA", at positions 35 to 154 of the family's 154-position model. The record is from RNAcentral.
GAUGAAGAACGCAGCAAAAUGCGAUAAGUAAUGUGAAUUGCAGAAUUCAGUGAAUCAUCGAAUCUUUGAACGCACAUUGCGCCCGCCAGUAUUCUGGCGGGCAUGCCUGUUCGAGCGUCAUUUUAACCCUCAAGCACAGCUUGGUGUUGGGACUCGCGUUAAUUCGCGUUCCUCAAAUUGAUUGGCGGUCACGUCGAGCUUCCAUAGCGUAGUAGUAAAACCCUCGUUACUGGUAAUCGUCGCGGCCACGCCGUUAAACCCCAACUUCUGAAUGUUGACCUCGGAUCAGGUAGGAAUACCCGCUGAACUUAAGCAUAUCAAUAAGCGGAGGA